GACGAACGCUGGCGGCGUGCCUAAUACAUGCGAGUCGAGCGGACGAAUCGAAAGCUUGCUUUUGAUUCGUUAGCGGCGGACGGGUGAGUAACACGUGGGCAACCUGCCCUGUAGACGGGGAUAACACCGAGAAAUCGGUGCUAAUACCGGAUAACACGAAAUGUCGCAUGAUGUUUCGUUGAAAGACGGCGCAAGCUGUCGCUACAGGAUGGGCCCGCGGCGCAUUAGCUAGUUGGUGAGGUAACGGCUCACCAAGGCGACGAUGCGUAGCCGACCUGAGAGGGUGAUCGGCCACACUGGAACUGAGACACGGCCCAGACUCCUACGGGAGGCAGCAGUAGGGAAUCUUCCGCAAUGGACGAAAGUCUGACGGAGCAACGCCGCGUGAGCGAAGAAGGCCUUCGGGUCGUAAAGCUCUGUUGUUAGGGAAGAACAAGUAACGCAGUAACUGGCGUUACCGUGACGGUACCUAAAGAGAAAGCCACGGCUAACUACGUG
RNAcentral lists this ribosomal RNA (498 nucleotides) under uncultured bacterium. Its description in RNAcentral is "partial 16S ribosomal RNA". It matches the Rfam family "Bacterial small subunit ribosomal RNA", at positions 28 to 507 of the family's 1533-position model. The record is from RNAcentral.